Cavia porcellus (domestic guinea pig) is the source of this 103-nucleotide small nuclear RNA. Lineage: Eukaryota; Metazoa; Chordata; Mammalia; Rodentia; Caviidae. The record is from Ensembl.
GUGCUUCUGCAGCAUAUAUACUAAAAUUGGAAUGAUACAGAGAAGAUUAGCAUGACCUCUGUGCAAGGACGACACGCAAAUUCAUGAAGCGUUUCAUAUUUAA